Molecule: long non-coding RNA, 4016 nt
Organism: Zonotrichia albicollis (white-throated sparrow)
Lineage: Eukaryota; Metazoa; Chordata; Aves; Passeriformes; Passerellidae
Source: RefSeq, a predicted model, not a curated record
GCCUUUUCUUUUAAAGAAGGAAGCCCAGUUUAUUUGUUAAACACUGUUUUUCCUGGGCUAAAAGGAAGGAACUUUUUUACUACAGUUUUAGCAAAACAAAUACUGUUCCAAGAAAUAUUUACUAAAAUAUCCUCCUCUGCAGUUCUGAGGAGUUAGAAAUAAUAAGCCUGAGGAGUUAGAAAUAAUCUUUCUUGCUGUUAUCUGUUUUACCAGUGUGUGAUCUAUAUCUCUGUGUGCUUUAUCUUUUUAGGUAGUUGUAGAAAUCUCCCUCCUUGCUGUGUAUGACAUUUUUUUUUUCUCUAUUCUUGUCUUGCUGCUUUUGAGUGUUUAAACUUGGUAAGCAAGAGAGCUGACUUUUACACUAUUGGGUGGUUGACCUUUCUGGCAAAGAAAUGGAGGGUUUAUAACAGAUUUUAUGUGUAUACUUUUGAACUGUGUAAGAUAGCUCAAAAUAAUGUGUGAUAGAUACAGUGUACUGUAAAGGGUAAGCUUAUGUUUCAGGGUAUACCACCAACAUUCAUAAUCACAUUAUCCUCUGUAAAUUUGUAUUUCUGCUGACAUUUUGCCAUUUGAAACUUUAUUCAUUUCCCUAUGGUGUUUUGCAUUUGUUUUAUAAAUGGCAUGUGCACAAACCAAUGCCAUGGUCUAGAAGAAAGGGAAAAAGUAUCUAAUAUUAAGCCCUAAAGGCAUCUGUUCAGUAACCUGUAUCUGAGAGUAAAGCAACCAUGCUGCCAUCUGUUAUAUUUUCUGUUUGAUGGCUAUUGCCCUCAUUGUAGGUUAUUGCAGGUCUCAAAGGGCUAUGCUCACUUUGCCUUUGAGCCAUUUUCUAGAGAAUAAAAAAUAUUUUGCAUUUUCUCCUGUCACUGCACAAGCUGUAUUGAAAAGAUUGCUUCAAUUACGAGAGCACUUAUGUUAUUUUUAAGGAGAAUUGAUUUUGUUUUCAUGUAGUAUAGAUGAAAGAGAGCUCUCUGAGAGGCUUUUAAAAUGUGAUGUUGUUGCCUUGCAUGACUUAGCUUAAUGGUAUGACAUUAUUUACUAUUUAUUUCAGAUAUUUAGUCCAGAAAAACCUCUCUGAGCAGCUCUUUGUUACCUGUACACAGCAAAAGGAAGGCAUUAUUUAGAGCUGAAUGUUAAAAACCAAAAAAAUAACUUGCGUAGCAGUUGUUUGUUCUUUUCAGUCUUGUUCCAGCCACUAAUGUGUCGUGAUCUUUGUCAGAGUAAGUCAGAUGUUUUAUGAAGAAAAAAGCAACUCUCUUUUCUCACUAUUUUCAUGGUUCUGCUGAGUGUGAAAGGUGCAAUACACUGCUGUGAUCCUUUUCAGAUAGUAAUUUCAUUUCUUUGCCAAGACUAACAAGCAGGUAAGUAGAAACCCACACACUUCACCUGCCAAUGCCUGCAUUUAAACUGCAGCUUUUCUCUGAAGCAGAAUUGUCCUCACUUUUCUGAGUGAAAAAAAAAAAAAAAUUAACCAUGAGACUGUAAGGAUGAAAUUUAUUUUUGAGGUAAGUAAUAAUCCAGAAUUUCUGAGCCCUUAGUUCAUGAAAUGACAAAUGAAUAUGAAAAAUCUGUUCCUUACUUAUUUUUUUAAGAUAACAAAAUGAAAACCCCUCCAACAUGAAUGGUUUGUUAAAACUAGCCAGUCUUAGGGGGGGCAAAAUAUUCCUAGAUUGAACAAUAACAUUUAAUGAGCCUGGGAUAGGGGUAUCUGUAGUAUUUUUUUUAAAGAAUUCUCUCCAAGAAUUAGAAUCUGAAUGCUUUGGAAGGUUCCAUUGUAAAUUCAGGGUUUUCAACUCCAUACUUUAACUUGGUACUUGCAACUCAGUGCUGUGGGGAGUAGGAGGGGUGAGGAACAGCAGACAUUUUAACUCAGAUCACAAAGGCAAUGUCCUGGGCCAGUCCCAUGGUUGUUCACCACUCACUGAAUUCCUACAGGAGUGGCUGUAAUUGGAAGCAAAAUAUUAUGACAGCCUUCAAAGUAUCAUUUAGCAUAUUUUUUAUAUACUAGAGCAUGUAGUAACAGGACAAGGGGGAAUGGCUUAAAACUGAAAGACAGGAGGCUUACACUGGAUAUUAGAAUAAAUGCUUUACUGUGAGGGUGGUGAGGCACUGACAAAGUUCCCGGAAGUUAUCAAGGCCAUGUUGGGACUGCAGCCUGGUCUGGUGGAACGUGUGCCUGCCCAUAGUAAAGGGGUUGGAACCAGAUGGUCUUUAAGGUCCCUUCCAACCAGGCCAUUCUAUGAUCUGUGAUGUCAUUUAACAAUUGAAAACAAAGAUGACAAUCAGCAUCCCAUAAUGCAUUUAAUGUUUGCCCAGCUAGAUACAGGAAUUAAACUAGCAAAUACAUUUUGAGUUGCAGUUUACCAACAAGCAAUAUGGGCCAUCUUCCUGCAUAUUCUAUCUUGUGAUCUCCUACCUGAAGAAAGGAAUUGUGAAUAUUUUAAAAUAGUUCCUGUUUUUUAAGUUUGUGUGAAAGCGAUUGCAGCAUUACUGGCGCUUCUUUAAAUGAGGUGUGCAGUGUCUGUGAGGUGAGCAAUAGAUGAGGUUAACCAAUAUCCUUCCAGAUGGAACUCUCACCUCUCUUUGUUUCAUCUGUUGUGAAUGCUUUCCUGUAAUUUAAAAUGGUAUUUCAGGUUUCAGCUCAGAGAUUUUUGUAUCCUGAAGAGCAAAGGAGAAGACAAGCUUGUUUGCAGGGGGGAAAGAAAGCAGAUGACCUUGCAGCAGGUCUUGGAAAAGGGCAAUAGAGGUGAAAGCACCUGUCUGAGGUGGACCAGGCACCUGUGUGUUAUGUGUUUAAUCCCUGUGAAUUUACUAGAGGAGAAGUAUGAAGUGUUGGGAAUUUAAUUAGAUGUAGCAUUGAGUUAGAGUGAGCUUAGGGGCUGAUCAUUUCUUGGCCAAAAUGUAAUAAACCUGGGAUAAUCUUGAGAAAAAAAGAUAAGAAUUGGUAAAUCUCUUGAACAUCUGAAGUAUUGACUCAGUUUCAGAGAUAUUUCCUUGUAUUUUCCCACAAAAAAUGGUACUUUUGAAUUCCACCUUACCAAAGAGUUUAAGUGAAUCUUAGUGUAUCAAACUUUUCCUCAUACUAUUUGUAAAUUUUUACAUUUUAGUGUGAAGUUGAAAGGUAAUAAACAGACAUAACUAUUUAUCCCUGUAGUGUUGCAAUAUGCAAAUUUUGAAUUUUAGCCUCUUUCAGCUGCAGGAGUGGCUGUUGGGUGACCAUUUCUCCUUCAGACACACAGGGGGGCACUUUGCAGAAAGCUGUCAUUAGGAGUGGAAGCAGAAGACACCUGGAGAAACGUGUUGUGUUGCUCAGAGUAAUUUUACUCAUAUUCCAUAAGCAAAGGAGGAAGCUGUAUGUCUGAGGAAGUGACAAAGGCGUUUGCAAGGAGUGGGAAAAGAGACCCUGAAGAGUCUUUAUAAUUGUACUAGGAUAGAGAAGGAAAGAGCUAGGUGCUUGUGCCUUCUGCUCCUCCAGCAAGUUUUUGAAAGCAGCCUUUUCAGUAAGUCACUGCUUCUUCUGUGUUACUGAAGAGGAGGAAACUUUGCUCUGACAAGGGAGUCCUUAGGAACGUUUGAAAUGGUGUGUGGCAAGUUGUUUCUUAACAGCUCAGACAGAAUGAAGGUGAGGCGAUUGUAGACACGUGGGUGUCUGACAGUGCAUGGACUCAGCACGGCUGCGUGCUGUGCCCUGGAGUCCCAGCUGCCAGGACUGUGACACCACCAGAGUCGCUGCCACCUUUAUUAACCAAACCAUCUGUCACUGUCGGAUAAACCUGCGGAUUCUUUUCCUGAGACAACAGACAGCUUCCAAAAAUCAACAAGACCUGAUUACUCAGUGUGACAAAGCCAACAUGCUCUUGGGGACAGCAUCUUAUUUGAUGUGUUUAAGUAUCACAUACAGGCUCAAAACACAGGGAAAAAAAUAAUUGGUCCUGCUCCCAGAAAUGUUUGCUAAGUUAAAAGCUUUUCAAGCUGCUGGAGGUAGCAAAAUAAAAUCUUUCUCAAAGGAAGCUAUUUUU